This 1557-nucleotide ribosomal RNA is filed under the name Staphylococcus aureus. RNAcentral's name for it is "16S ribosomal RNA". It matches the Rfam family "Bacterial small subunit ribosomal RNA". Lineage: Bacteria; Bacillati; Bacillota; Bacilli; Caryophanales; Staphylococcaceae. The record is from RNAcentral.
UUUUAUGGAGAGUUUGAUCCUGGCUCAGGAUGAACGCUGGCGGCGUGCCUAAUACAUGCAAGUCGAGCGAACGGACGAGAAGCUUGCUUCUCUGAUGUUAGCGGCGGACGGGUGAGUAACACGUGGAUAACCUGCCUAUAAGACUGGGAUAACUUCGGGAAACCGGAGCUAAUACCGGAUAAUAUUUUGAACCGCAUGGUUCAAAAGUGAAAGACGGUCUUGCUGUCACUUAUAGAUGGAUCCGCGCUGCAUUAGCUAGUUGGUAAGGUAACGGCUUACCAAGGCAACGAUGCAUAGCCGACCUGAGAGGGUGAUCGGCCACACUGGAACUGAGACACGGUCCAGACUCCUACGGGAGGCAGCAGUAGGGAAUCUUCCGCAAUGGGCGAAAGCCUGACGGAGCAACGCCGCGUGAGUGAUGAAGGUCUUCGGAUCGUAAAACUCUGUUAUUAGGGAAGAACAUAUGUGUAAGUAACUGUGCACAUCUUGACGGUACCUAAUCAGAAAGCCACGGCUAACUACGUGCCAGCAGCCGCGGUAAUACGUAGGUGGCAAGCGUUAUCCGGAAUUAUUGGGCGUAAAGCGCGCGUAGGCGGUUUUUUAAGUCUGAUGUGAAAGCCCACGGCUCAACCGUGGAGGGUCAUUGGAAACUGGAAAACUUGAGUGCAGAAGAGGAAAGUGGAAUUCCAUGUGUAGCGGUGAAAUGCGCAGAGAUAUGGAGGAACACCAGUGGCGAAGGCGACUUUCUGGUCUGUAACUGACGCUGAUGUGCGAAAGCGUGGGGAUCAAACAGGAUUAGAUACCCUGGUAGUCCACGCCGUAAACGAUGAGUGCUAAGUGUUAGGGGGUUUCCGCCCCUUAGUGCUGCAGCUAACGCAUUAAGCACUCCGCCUGGGGAGUACGACCGCAAGGUUGAAACUCAAAGGAAUUGACGGGGACCCGCACAAGCGGUGGAGCAUGUGGUUUAAUUCGAAGCAACGCGAAGAACCUUACCAAAUCUUGACAUCCUUUGACAACUCUAGAGAUAGAGCUUUCCCCUUCGGGGGACAAAGUGACAGGUGGUGCAUGGUUGUCGUCAGCUCGUGUCGUGAGAUGUUGGGUUAAGUCCCGCAACGAGCGCAACCCUUAAGCUUAGUUGCCAUCAUUAAGUUGGGCACUCUAAGUUGACUGCCGGUGACAAACCGGAGGAAGGUGGGGAUGACGUCAAAUCAUCAUGCCCCUUAUGAUUUGGGCUACACACGUGCUACAAUGGACAAUACAAAGGGCAGCGAAACCGCGAGGUCAAGCAAAUCCCAUAAAGUUGUUCUCAGUUCGGAUUGUAGUCUGCAACUCGACUACAUGAAGCUGGAAUCGCUAGUAAUCGUAGAUCAGCAUGCUACGGUGAAUACGUUCCCGGGUCUUGUACACACCGCCCGUCACACCACGAGAGUUUGUAACACCCGAAGCCGGUGGAGUAACCUUUUAGGAGCUAGCCGUCGAAGGUGGGACAAAUGAUUGGGGUGAAGUCGUAACAAGGUAGCCGUAUCGGAAGGUGCGGCUGGAUCACCUCCUUUCUAA